UUGUUUUCUUGCAGUCGUCGUCACAUGGUGGCCAGCCUUGCUCCCUCUUGAAGGCAUAUGCUAUGUCCCAUAAGGGCAAGGCGACGUCUGACGUCAACUACAAUCCGGAGGACGGGCCCGAGGCAUACAGCAACCCCAUGGUCCAUACCCGCCUCAAUGCGUACACAAUGAUGGCAAGGGAGGUCCAUGGUCCAGAGUUUGAUCCGGCCACCGAGGACCUUGACGGAGAAGUCGUCAUGAGGGUUGGAGGAGGUAAGAAUCAUGGGCGGUAUUAGAUUGCCGACAGCGCAAUCGACUCGUCCUCUACUCCUACUCUAUCUCAGAUUAGAGCAAGGAGCACGAGUGCGAGCCCAGGCAUACGACCUCGGCAAGACACUUCACAGUACCGGAUACAGGCACUCCAGGCCGAAUUAGAAGAAGAGAGGAGGCUAUGUCUGGAGAACGAGCACAGGAUGAGGGAUAUGUUUGCCUACAUGCAGACUCUUGGUGCCGCAACGGGUGUAGCUCCACCACCUUCGUUGUUCGCUUCACCUCGACCUCCUGCGGAGUUUUCUACUCCUAAUCAAUCGGCGGCCUCAAAUGACCCUCAUGUUUCUCCAACUACGCCGGUAUGGAGGUCGCCGGGUUGGAGGUCUUGAUCAUGAUUCUUACCACUUAUCCUGUUUCUAUAGACUUUUCAUGUUUUUGGACAUCCGUGGACUAUAUUGUGAGACAUGCAUAUUUAUGAUCUGUAAUAAUAGUACGUGUGUGAACCGAUUUGGGAUAUGUAUGUGAAUCAAUUGUGUUUGUAGUAUAGAUGUGAUGUUUGUGAUAUAGAUGUGAUAUUGGUGA
Panicum hallii is the source of this 831-nucleotide long non-coding RNA. RefSeq lists it as uncharacterized. NCBI's taxonomy places the organism in Eukaryota, Viridiplantae, Streptophyta, Magnoliopsida, Poales, Poaceae. The record is from RefSeq and is a predicted model, not a curated record. The transcript is spliced from 3 exons.